CCUUCAUGAAGCCGGAAUUGCUAGUAAUGGCAGGUCAGCAUACUGCCGUGAAUACGUUCCCGGGCCUUGUACACACCGCCCGUCACACCAUGAGAGUUGGGGAUACCCGAAGCCUGUGAGCUAACUAUUUAUAGGAGCAGCAGUCGAAGGUAGAAUCAAUGAUUGGGGUGAAGUCGUAACAAGGUAAC
RNAcentral lists this ribosomal RNA (188 nucleotides) under uncultured bacterium. RNAcentral's name for it is "partial 16S ribosomal RNA". It matches the Rfam family "Bacterial small subunit ribosomal RNA", at positions 1315 to 1500 of the family's 1533-position model. The record is from RNAcentral.